RNAcentral lists this ribosomal RNA (443 nucleotides) under uncultured bacterium. RNAcentral describes it as "partial 16S ribosomal RNA". It matches the Rfam family "Bacterial small subunit ribosomal RNA", at positions 338 to 795 of the family's 1533-position model. The record is from RNAcentral.
CCUACGGGAGGCAGCAGUGGGGGAUCUUGGACAAUGGGGGGAACCCUGAUCCAGCGACGCCGCGUGAGUGAAGAAGUAUUUCGGUAUGUAAAGCUCUGUCAGCAGAGAAGAAAGAAAUGACGGUACCUUACCAAGAAGCCCCGGCUAACUACGUGCCAGCCGCCGCGGUAAUACGUAGGGGGCAAGCGUUAUCCGGAAUUACUGGGGGGAAAGGCAGCGUAGACGGUUUAGUAAGUCUGGAGUGAAAGCCCGGGGCACAACCCCGGGACUGCUCUGGAAACUAUUGAACUUGAGUGCAGGAGAGGGAAGCGGAAUUCCAAGUGUAGCGGUGAAAUGCGUAGAUAUAAGGAGGAACACCAGUGGCGAAGGCGGCUGUCUGGACUGUAACUGACGUUGAGGUUCGAAAGCGUGGGGAGCAAACAGGAUUAGAUACCCGUGUAGUC